Molecule: long non-coding RNA, 573 nt
Organism: Carassius carassius (crucian carp)
Lineage: Eukaryota; Metazoa; Chordata; Actinopteri; Cypriniformes; Cyprinidae
Exons: 3
Source: RefSeq, a predicted model, not a curated record
AAAUAUCUUGGACUCACCCUGGGGGUAUUCCAGAAAGCUUGGUUAACUUACCAUUUGAUAAACUAUAACCUCUGGGUUGAUUUACCCCAAACAGGCAUACCAUGAGUAUGUCGGUUCCAAAACACCUGAGAAGAGUUAGUUUAAUCAACCUCUGACUGGUUACCCAGAGUUAAUGCGCGUGCACGGUGCAUGUAUAAAGACAUUUUCAAUGGAUCGCCGAUUUCACGAGUCACCAUGGAAACUCAAAGCGAAAAAAAAGAGCGACGUAUUUCACAGAGGCGGAGUUGGAAGUUUUAAUGCAUGCUUAUGAGGAGUUUAAGCCAAUAAUAUUAAAAAGAAGCAAUACAGCUGCAUCGGCUAAAGCAAGAGAGCUGGCUUGGCAAAAAAUAACGGACAGAGUAAAUGCGUGUAAUCCUUCUGGAGCCACAAGAACUUUAAGCCAAGUCAAAAUGAAACACAAAAACAUUCUGCAAAAAGCUAACAGAAAGAAGACUGAAGCUCGUCUAACUGGCGGGGGGCCACCACCACCUCCCCUCACCCCAUCUGAGGAGCUGGCUCUGUCCCUUAAUAAAG